RNAcentral lists this microRNA precursor (89 nucleotides) under Branchiostoma floridae (Florida lancelet). RNAcentral's name for it is "microRNA bfl-mir-4903 precursor". The record is from miRBase by way of RNAcentral. Lineage: Eukaryota; Metazoa; Chordata; Leptocardii; Amphioxiformes; Branchiostomatidae.
UUAGCCUGGGUACUAUUCCUAUUUCUAUCGGGGCUCCUUGCACUAGCUGACCUAGUACCCCGGUAGGCAUAGGUUGGUACACAGGCAGU